Molecule: unclassified non-coding RNA, 260 nt
Filed under: Hevea brasiliensis (rubber tree)
Lineage: Eukaryota; Viridiplantae; Streptophyta; Magnoliopsida; Malpighiales; Euphorbiaceae
Source: RNAcentral
GCUUGUGAAUCUUGAAAUCGGGAAAGGAGAGAAACUAUAGUAUAGAAAUGGCUGACUAGACCUUAACAAUUGUGAAAUGGAGGGAAGCUUAAACAACGAGUGCUGACUGAGAAACUAGAAUCACUGGGGACUAAUGAGGGAUUUAGGGUCAUGACUCACAAUUGACCAAUGAGUUGAGAGACUGAGGUGAGGAGAAUUGAGAGGAGAUGUCCGUGAUUUAUGAAGGAGGGGAGUAGAUCCAUGGUUUUAAAUCAUGAUUG